AGCUAGUUGACGAGUCCCAAAUAGGACGAAAUGUGCGUUAUCCUGGAU
Molecule: non-coding RNA, 48 nt
Filed under: Trichobilharzia regenti
Lineage: Eukaryota; Metazoa; Platyhelminthes; Trematoda; Strigeidida; Schistosomatidae
Source: RNAcentral